This is a non-coding RNA of Macaca mulatta (Rhesus monkey), 4370 nucleotides long. Lineage: Eukaryota; Metazoa; Chordata; Mammalia; Primates; Cercopithecidae. The record is from RefSeq and is a predicted model, not a curated record.
CAGUGGAGCAGCCUCCUGGCGCUGCUUGCCAUAGGGCACCUUGAUAGGGGGCCGCUUGGUGACUGCCGCUACUAGGAAAUUCAUCAGGACGUCCACACAGGUGGGUGCCUCAUCUGCCAGGGUCCUCAGAGCCUUGGGCAGGGAGUGGGUGAAGAGAGUGUGGUAAUACCUGGGCAAAGGGAAAAGACAGGGAGAGGCUGCAGCCAAAUUCAUCCCCAGGCCCCAUUCUCCUCCCUCCUGACCUCACCUCUCCCUUUGACCCCCAUCCCCAAGCCUCUGAGCCUGGCUGCCUCAGAAAGCUCCCAUCCCUGGCAUGAACAGCUCUCCACUGUGCUGUGUGCCCCGUGGCUCAUCUGCAGUCAGUGGUGUGUUCCCUGCCCUCUCCCUCACAGCUCCUUGGGGCACCCAUCCUUGGGCUCUGAGCGCUGAACCCAGAGCCAGAAUUAGAUGGGUUCGGAUCAGCUGGUUUCAAAGCCAUCAAACAUGGAAGCCCAAAGAACAGUUGUGGAUGAACCAGGCUGGUACUGCUUUGGCCUCCCCAAGAGACACCUGCUUUUCACAUGGCUGCAUCGAUUUCCAUGGGGAAAAGGCAACAGAAUCUUGGGACUUACAGAAGAAGGCAGCAAGAACACUUGGAAAUUGUCCCCAUUCCUCCCCUCAAAAUGAGUGGUCAUCCUUGGGGUCUGGAAGUCUUCAGGGCCCUGCCCUGUCCUUGCCCCCACCCUGGAUCCCAGGACUCCAGCUGGGAAGGGGGCAGACCUGGGCACAGUGCUGGGAGCCUGCCACCGCCUGGAUGAGCUUCAGAGGGGGCUGACCUGGGGGCCCCACCCAGAUCAGGGCGCUGAAUCUGCCCUCAGGGCGGGAGCCUGGGGGAAUGAGACACAGGCUAUUAGGGUGGGAGGGAACAGAACCCCAUGAAGAGCGACCUGAGUAGAGAAUCCCGGGGGCCAGGAGAAAUGUCAGGGCUUGGGAAGGGUCUUGGUGGGGCUCUCCAGAUGAGGCUGGGGCAGCCCUAGGUAGAGCUGAGGGGACUUCAGGUUGUCCCAUCCCAGGGCAUACCCUGUUGCAGGUGGUAGAAGGGGAAGUCCUGGGGGCUUGUGGAAAAAGUAGACAGGGCCAGGAGUGCCCCCGGGGGGCUGUUCCACAGCAGUGAGGGGUGAGCUGAUGUUCCAAAGAUCCGGUCCUGAAUAACCUGAAAUGAGAGAGGAGCUGAGCAGAGCGAGUGGCCUGUGUGUCCAUGGCCACACCUCCCCUUCCAGGCUCUGGGGAGGGUGGCAACUGCAUCACCAGUCCUCUGGGGUCAGAAGCUGAGGUCUAGAGUACGGGGCACUCCAUGAUGUUGCUCCAGAGGUGGGAGAUGGUGGCAGGGUCACUGCUUCCCCUCCCUUCCUCACUCAUGACAGAUGUCACUAACGGGUCAUGACACUUUUCAGGACUCAGAAUCCCUCCAAACAUAGCACCCCAGGCAGCCGUCAGUGGUCAAUUGGCAUUGGCACGUGCUUUGAAAUCUAUUUGCUACAGCGGUCUUCUCUACAGAUGGGGAAACUGAGGCCAAGAUUGGAGAAGAAACUUGCCCCAAAUCUCACAGCCAAGUCUCAGAUUCAUCCCAGGACCAUCUUCAAGGAGUGGGGGUGUCCCUGAACACUGGGACAGAGAAGUAUGGAGAGGUGACAGGGAUGGAGCAGGAGUCAAGGGCCAGGACCCCCAUCAGGUGAGCCCCCUCACCUCCAGAGUGGUAUGGAUAACCUUCUCCACCGAGGAGAAGUAGGCAUCCCAUAGAAACUGGGUCUGCUGACGCAGGGCGAGGACCCGUGCAGGGGACAUCUCCUGGAGGGCAGCCAGGACCUGGGGCAGAGAGAGAUAAAAGUGCCAGAUAAUAGAGCAAUUUUGAGCCCAGGAAGUUGAGGCUGCAGUGAGCCAUAUUUAUGCCACUGCACUCCAGCCCGAGCAACAGAGCAAGACCCUAUCUCAAAAAAAAAAAAAAAAAAGAAGAAGCAGCGUUCAGGGGUCACACAGAGUUGGGCCUGAAUGCCAUUUGGUAACCAUGUGACUGUGGUCGAGCUGUUUAACCUCUCUGAGUAUUUGCUCAUUAAUUGCUUAGUACAUUGUAGAGGCUCAAUAAAUAAAUGGUAAUUACUAUUAACCCCCUCUACCAUUCUCAGGGGAUUCAAGGCAGGUCACACAUGUAUUUUUCAGAGCUGGACAGAAUUCGUUUCAUCAGAUGGAAAAGUCUCCAUGCGUUUUGCUUUCCCACUCCAGUCCCCAUGGAGGCGCUCUGAGUCUGAAUUGUUUUGUAGCCUUCCCCUAAAUUGGUAUUUAAGCAGUCACAGGCCAUUGGAGCUGGGCCCAUGGGGAUUGUCUGGUCUAGCUCAUCCUGUUGUGGAGAUGGGAAAACUGAGGCUGCAAGAGGAUCAGGACUUGCUCUCAGAGCCCUUAGGAAUCUCUAGCUCCAUCGGAUCCUCUGGGAGCCCCAGAGGGGAGACUUGGUGCUGGGAGAAAUUCAUCAGUAUCCAUACAAGGCAGAUAGGAAUGAGGACUGAGGCCAGCCUCGAUUCAGGAUUCUGGGUCCCUCCCCUGUCCUGGGUCCAGUUCCCACCCUGUGGGCAGGGCUCUGAGCUACCUGAAGCGGGAGCCUCUCAUCAGCUACGAUGGCUGCCUUGGUCCAGUCGAUGACCUCGGAGAAGGGCAGCUCCCAGCGGGGGCUGAGAAGCACUGGGAUGCAGCCGGCCUGGGGGGCGGGGAGGUCACUGGGGAGCCCAGCCCCACCCUGCACAUACUCACCCCCCACCCAGUUCCAAGUCAGUAACUGCUGCUAUUGGGGGGAAGGGGCAAAGAGGACAGGAACAUGGGGUGUCUCAGGGAAGAGAGGUUAUGGUUGUUCUGCAGAGUGUGCAGUGAAUGGGGACACAGGCACACCUGAGUCCAGGAGUAAAGGAGCAGGCAGCUCACUGCCCCUUCUCAUUGGCCUGGACCCAGCCAGCUCGUGAGUGCUGGGGGACAGAGGACAGGUGAUGCUCAAAUUGGGGUCGUACCUGCAGGGCUUGGAGGAAGCGCGAGGCAGCUUCUGGACGGUGGCCAGAGAUGAGGCAGAAGGUGGCAUUGGGCAGAGUCUCCCCGCGCUGGGUCCUAAAGAGGCACACAGGAAGGUCCCGGUACACAUGAGCUUAGACAGUGCCCUUCGCCCCACCGGGCUCCCUCAAUGGGAGCACCCCACACCCCUGCACCCCACACCCACACUACCAAAUGUGCAAACCCACUCAUGCAUAUGCACAGUCGCACACUGACACACUAACACAAACACAAGCCUCACACCGGCCACGCGUCUGUGGUUGGAAUAGGAGGCAGGAGCCCUGCAUUCUAGCUCUGCCUCUUCCCUCAGUGGCUUUAGAAACCUCCCUUGCCUUUCUCUGACCUCAGUUUCCUCAUCUGUAAAAUGGGAGGCAGAGGGCGCUGAUGUUUCCAAGGCCCUGCCUGACUUAGACAUGCACGUCUGCCCUCCCCAACUUGGCCACAGGCAGACUUUCAGCACCCCUUGCCUGCGUGGCCUCUGAGCCCAGCCCUCCCCAACGCUGAAAGCCAGGCCCAAGAAAGGCUCCUCUGUCAUGAGGUGGGCUGGGCCCCCAGCCUGGAACCACACAGGAAGCUGCUGCCCAGAGGCCCCCUGGCCCAGAGGACAGGCUUCCUCUGUUCCUCCCACCUACCCCCCCACCGCCACAGCCCAGGGCCACACUCAGGCUGUGUGUGCCUGUGGGGGAGGGCAGGAGUCCCAGCCUCCUCAGAGCCACCCCCAGCAAUUGUGCACCGAGGGGACCAUCGCCUGUGACCCAGUCAGGGGAGGGAUAAAGGGAGGGACCAAGACACAGGCCUGCUCAGUGUGGGACUCAUGACUAUGGCUCUCAGGGUCCUAGGACCCUCCUCAGUUACAGCCUGCUUGACUCUGAGCCUGAACCUCCAAGAAGCAGACCUAGGAGUACUUAGGCAGCCUCGGGGCCAUGCCCCAUUGAACAGAUGGGGAAACUGAGGCCCAGAGAGACCCAAGGACCGGCUCAGGGUCACAGAUAGGGUUGGGGUGGAGCUGGGACUAGAGCAGAGAUGUGCCAGCUCCUGACUCCAAGUUACCUGAACCACCCCAGAGCUGCUGCUUUAGGGGUCUCCCAGGGGACCCCAGCCUUCUUUCUCCUCCCUCCAUGCUUAAGUGUCCAGUAGGCCCUCCCUGGAAGAAGCCACAAGUAACCACCAGGACACCCUUCACCUCAUUAAAAGCCACAGCAGAAGCCAACCAGGUACAGCCCCCUUCACCCCCAAGUCAACCUCUAAGGAACUGAAAACCUCUAGGUUAAGGCUGAAUAAACUGCACCACUGAGCCUUAA